AUGAGAUUGGUGAUGAACAUGGUUGCUGGUGAUCUGCUCAUGCGGCGAGUUAGUGUGCCGGAGGCGGCUCAGCCUGGCACAGAACAGUGCCUGAUCCGUUCUCGAAUUUCCUGUUCUGCCUCUCCCUUUCGGUUGUCUACUCAUUUAAUGCGUCUGCUGGCUGGCUUUAUUUUCCCCUCCAUACAGCUGCUAUACAGAGCACAAUACAACACUGGUCACACAUCCACAUGCCACCUGAUGGUUGUGAUUUCAGGAUCAGCUGAGCCUGGGCUCAGAAACCAAUAUUCGCAUGAAUGCUCCAUAGUUCUACAUGCAACACAGCUAAUUACUGAAUCUGCAAUGCAUGCUUAUUUCUGGCAGAAGCUUAGUGGAUGA
This 375-nucleotide ribosomal RNA is filed under the name Triticum aestivum (bread wheat). RNAcentral describes it as "partial small subunit ribosomal RNA". Lineage: Eukaryota; Viridiplantae; Streptophyta; Magnoliopsida; Poales; Poaceae. The record is from RNAcentral.